RNAcentral lists this ribosomal RNA (334 nucleotides) under uncultured bacterium. Its description in RNAcentral is "partial 16S ribosomal RNA". It matches the Rfam family "Bacterial small subunit ribosomal RNA", at positions 338 to 669 of the family's 1533-position model. The record is from RNAcentral.
CCUACGGGAGGCAGCAGUGAGGAAUAUUGGUCAAUGGGCGCGAGCCUGAACCAGCCAAGUAGCGUGAAGGAUGACUGCCCUACGGGUUGUAAACUUCUGUUAUAAAGGAAUAAAGUGAGGCACGUGUGCCUUUUUGUAUGUACGUUAUGAAUAAGGAUCGGCUAACUCCGUGCCAGCAGCCGCGGUAAUACGGAGGAUCCGAGCGUUAUCCGGAUUUGUUGGGGUGAAAGGGAGCGUAGAUGGGUUGUUAAGUCCGUUGUGAAAGUUUGCGGCUCACCCGGAAAAUUGCAAUUUAUACUGGCAGCCUUUAGUACAGUUGCGGUAGGCGGCAUUC